This 514-nucleotide ribosomal RNA is filed under the name uncultured bacterium. Its description in RNAcentral is "partial 16S ribosomal RNA". It matches the Rfam family "Bacterial small subunit ribosomal RNA", at positions 28 to 523 of the family's 1533-position model. The record is from RNAcentral.
GAUGAACGCUGGCGGCGUGCCUAAUACAUGCACGUCGAGCGAAUGGAUUAAGAGCUUGCUCUUAUGAAGUUAGCGGCGGACGGGUGAGUAACACGUGGGUAACCUGCCCAUAAGACUGGGAUAACUCCGGGAAACCGGGGCUAAUACCGGAUAACAUUUUGAACCGCAUGGUUCGAAAUUGAAAGGCGGCUUCGGCUGUCACUUAUGGAUGGACUCGAGUCGCAUUAGCUAGUUGGUGAGGUAACGGCUCACCAAGGCAACGAUGCGUAGCCGAUCGGAGAGGGUAAGCGGCCACACUGGGACUGAGACACGGCCCAGACUCCGUCUGGAGGCAGCAGUAGGGAAUCUUCCGCAAUGGACGAAAGUCUUACGUGGCAACGCCGCGUGAGUGAUGAAGGCUUUCGGGUCGUAAACUCUGUUGUUAGGGAAGAACAAGUGCUAGUUGAAUAAGCUGGCACCUUGACGGUACCUAACCAGAAAGCCACGGCUAACUACGUGCCAGCAGCCGCGGUAA